Molecule: long non-coding RNA, 698 nt
Filed under: Homo sapiens (human)
Lineage: Eukaryota; Metazoa; Chordata; Mammalia; Primates; Hominidae
Description: HSALNT0075063
Source: RNAcentral
UUUAUAAAUGCCCUGGCAAUGUCAGGAAGUUAGCCUAUGUGGUGGUCUAAAAACAGAAGGCAUGAAUAAUCCACCCCUUGUUUAGCACAUAAUCAAGAAAUAACCGUAAGAAUGUGCAACCAGCAGCCCUUGGGGCUGCUCUGUCUAUGGAGUGGCCAUUCUUUUAUUCCUUUGCUUUCCUAAUAAACUUGCUUUCACUUUACAGACUUGCCCUGAAUUCUUUCUUGCGCGAGAUCUAAGAACCCUCUCUUGGGGUCUGGAUGAGGACCACCUUCCUGUAACAUCUUUCUGGCAACCACAGAAGGGACACAAAGGCUACCUUUGGCUUGGCCCCCAGGGCUAGGGUCCAGCCGCCGGGUCACUAGGACCACUCAAAGAAAGGGAACACAAAAGCCUCACGUGCCAGCAAAAGGGUGAUAUAGUGUUGUAGCUGAAUCGUAUCACACACAAUUCAAAUGUUGACACCUUAAGCCCUAGUAUCUCUGCAAGUGACUGUAUUUGAAACCAGAGCCUUUAAAGACAUGUUUAGGUUAAAAUGAAGUGUUAGGGUGGGCCCUAAUUCAGUCUGACUGGUGUCUAUAAGAAAAGAAUAUUAGGACACCCAAAGAGGCACCAUCAAGACUGUAAACACACAGAGAAAAGUCCAUGUGAGGACACAGCAAGAAGGCAGCCAUCUACAAGCCAAGGGAAGAGGCUGC